GAAGAUCUGAUUACCAGUAGCUAGAUAAAGAACCCCGGCAGUACCAUUGUGCCUUGUGGUGGUUAAGUUGCCACAGUUGCAGCUCGUCAAUUUGGACAUGGCCUUGGGGUGGAGUAUAGGUCAGCACCUGACCAUGUUAUGCGAGCACUGUUUCAAGGCUUGGUUCUUGCUCCGCAAAUUGUUGGAGAGGCCGUUUCUAGUGAAGAUCAUGUCAGCCAAGGGCUAUAGAAUUCAACCACUUUUCAAGGGUUCCAUGCCAUGAAACUGUGCAGGGAGGAACACAUUGGACAGUGGACUCUUGUCCUGGGUGAAGUUUCUCAUGGUCAUGUAGCUGUUUGUUACCAGAAUACUUCCCAUUUCUAGGAUGGGUAGGCUCUUCGUUAACUACGACUGAUUAGUGAGUACUUGUUGAUUGACGGGAAUCAUCAGGAACCAUCAUUCUCAUAAAAUUAAUUUUGUUGAACCGACGAGUGAUUUCAAAUAACAAAGAUUUUUCAACGAUGUGAAGAAUUCAACAGGCUGCACCGAUUGAUUGGCAUAGUAACUUCAAGCCCAUCAUUCAUGUUGGAUAGCUUCGGCCUUUCGACUUGCCAGUUCAUUACAGAUUAGUUAGAAAUGCUUUGGAAUUAAUGUACCUGUUGUAUGAGUGUGCCAAUCAAGAAGAGACAGAUGGCCGCCACAGCACUUCAUCUGGGAGGAUUCCUUUUUAUGUUUUUAUUAUUACAGAUCUUGUCACUUAAUAGUCCAGAUCAGUUUGUAGAGUCUGCUCAUGAACACUUCAGAGAAAAAGUUGUUACUUCUCAUGAAGAUUCUUGUAGUGAGUCGAUUUCUGGUCAUAAAUUACUUGAUUUUCCUGGUCAAAGAUAAUUAUCUUUGUCUAUUAUUUUGUCAUUAUGGUUAGUUUCGCAGCUUUCUCUUAAGAGAUGAAUGUACCUAUUUGUGCAAAUAGAAGUAUAAAACUCAGCGUAAACACCGUGUGCCGUGCGUAUGACUUCU
This is a long non-coding RNA of Triticum dicoccoides, 996 nucleotides long. RefSeq lists it as uncharacterized. The transcript has 3 exons. The record is from RefSeq and is a predicted model, not a curated record. Lineage: Eukaryota; Viridiplantae; Streptophyta; Magnoliopsida; Poales; Poaceae.